Pelobates cultripes (western spadefoot toad) is the source of this 17971-nucleotide non-coding RNA. Lineage: Eukaryota; Metazoa; Chordata; Amphibia; Anura; Pelobatidae. The record is from the annotation of a GenBank genome assembly.
UCACUGACUGCUUCUAGAGGUAAGUGUCAGGCAGUAGGUUAAGAAGAACUGUAUUGAUAAAUUAUAAUCAGAUUUUAAGUGUGUUUCUAAAGCCAAUUCAUUGAAAAUAUAUGAUUGAUUGUUCAUAAAUGCUAAUCUUUAAUUUAAUUUUAAUUCAAAUAAAAUUAAAAAUUGUGUGUUUAGUGCUUCUCAAAGAAAUGUAAUUAAUUAGAAGCAAGACAAGGCCAAAUGUAUGUAUUUAGAAAAAAAGGUGUCAUAUUAAUGAAAUACGUCUAAAAAGCCAGCCAGGGGAAAAAAUACAUAUAUGGAAGAACAUUCUAAGGUUAGCGUUGAAUAUGGGGGGAAUAAAAGACGAACUAUCUAGCAAAUGCCAUACAGAAUCUUCUGCAAUUAUUGUAUCAACAGAUACAUCAGGAUAAUAAAAUGCAAAAAUCAAAUAGCUCUUUUUCAUGAUUUACUCAUCAUUCUAAAUCACUACAGUGAAAGGAAGACUGAAUUUGAUGGGCACAAGUCUCUUUUCAGCUAUGCAACUAUGUAACUAUUUAACUAUGAAGAGGUUAGAGGUAAAAUAGAGAGCUAAAAAGGAAGGUGUAAAACCACAAAGAUGAAUCACUAUAGCCAUGGAGCCCAUAAUUAAGCUUUUAAUGAUAAAAUUAGCCAGGCUCCAUUGACAGUGUCUAAAAACUGGAGAUUUGUGUGUCCAAUUGAAAAUAUGGCAGUGCCACCAGCAGAGUAGAAUAUGUAAUAUUUGGAUAUGUCCAGAAAUUUUGUUUUUAGGUACUUAUCCAUGGCAUCCUUACAGAUUGACUCUGGGACUACCCACAUUAGUGAUAAAAUGGUACAUUAUCAGCCAUUAAUAAGAUAAAUAAGAGAUCUCUCCUUCAAUACAUUUAACAAAUGUGAAGUUUCUGAGAGAUACUUCUUCUUAUGCUAAUAGCGGAAUAUGAGAUGUAGUGGAAGUCCACAAAAUAUGAUUCAACUGUGCAACUCACUUUAUCCAUCACAUUAUAUCAAUUUUGAAUAGUAAAAUGAUUUCAGACUUCAUGCUGAAGAGUUCUCAUAUUCCCUUUGGUGCAGCUAAUAGCAUGGCCUGAGGAGGGCAGCCUUGACUUAAGAACUGGCCUAGAGGCCAUUCAAUAAAGACUAUGGAGCCCCUCUCACGACAGGACUGUUAGCCAGUAGAAGGUCUUAGAUUAAGACCUUCAAAGCACACGAGUCAUUGUGUGUAGUUGUCUUUUUUAACAGUUUUCUUUCAAUUACAUUAGGAAAUUACAGGGGGCAAAAUCAAUGAGGCUGAAAAACAGGAAACAUUACGUGCAAUAUACUCAAAGCUUUAGUAGAACUAUCACAGUCCAUACAUUUUAUAUAUCUACUUUUUUCUAUUGAAAUUCCAUAUCUGAUUCCAUGUUUUAAUGAUAGACAUGAGGAAGGACGUGGAGUAAUAAUAUAUCAUAGAUCGUUGUUCUUCGAAUCUAUCCCAGUUAGGACCUACCAACACACCACGACUUUCUUAUCUUUGGUAUCUUAAACUUCCACUGCACCAAUUAUUGUAUGGUAGCAAUUAAUGUGAACUUUUAGUUUGGAAACAGCUGAUGUGCCAAAGCAAACUUUUGGCUUUGUAUAGCGAGCACUACCAUUAAAAGAAAAAUAUAAAUUGCAAAAUGUUCAUAAAGUCUUUUUAUGGAUAAAUUAGCUUUUUAAAAUAUUUAAAAAAAAAUUAAAGAUACAUACCAGGACAUACUUGAAAACGAGAGAAAUCUCAAUGUAUCCAUCCUGGUAAAAUAUUUUAUAAAUAAAUAAAUAUAUAUACAUGUAACAGCAAAUAAUAUGAAUAGUUAGAAAUGCAAAGUUUAUAUUAAUAGAUACAGUUACAUACGUAGCAUAUAUCAAAAGCUUAUGCUCUCGUGAUAGAUGACAUUCAUUUAUUGACAUAUGCUAACUGGAAUGUUUAAAGGUUGACCAGGUAAUUGAAAUGUAACACUGCGAAGCUUUAUUUUUUUUAUUCUAGUAUAUUUGGUUUAUACUGAAAUAUCUUUCCUUUGGUGAAGAAUUGUGAAGACCAAAAAAGAAAAUUAAACUUGUCUUACCUAUUUUUAUUUACAGAAUAUUCCCUUUUCAAUCUUUUUCCACCUGGGAAGGAUACUAAAGGUAUGUCUUCUUAUUUAUUUCACUGAAAUAUAAUAUACAAACAAGCAAUUAUUUUUAUUGAAAAACAAGCACAUUUAUUAAUUAAUCAGCUCAUUCUUGCAAUUUCUGUGAACGUUUAUUUUCACACUCUAAGUGAAUUGGUAAUUUUGAAUAUCUUCAUAACAACUCUGCAACCACAAAUACAUGCAUAUACUUUAAAGCAAAAAGUGUAUAAUUAUAUUUCAUGCAAGUAAUUUUAAUUAAAUUGCAUUUUUCUUACCUUUUUUUUUAAUAAACAUGAUAUAUGUGUAGUAAACCAUCAACCAUGGGUGACGGUGAGAUGGCUGUAUUUGGGGAGGCAGCCCAAUUCCUCCGAAAAACUGACAAGGAGAGGAUUGAGGCACAGAACAGACCGUUUGAUGCCAAAACAUCAUACUUCGUGAUAGACCCAAAGCAGAUGUAUGUGAAGGGAGAAAUUCAGAGCAGAGAAGGUGGCAAAGUCACUGUGAAAAAAGAAGAUGGCACAGUAAGUUGCAAUAUGUCAUUCGUUAAGCCCGAAAACACUUACAUAGAGAGGUAUUACAACAAUUUUAAUUCAGAUAUUUUAUAAACCUCUUGACUUCCUAAACUACAGAAAUAUAUAUUCUAAUGAGUUGAGAGAGCAAUGUCUUCCAAGUAGAAUUACAUUUGUGUCCAACUUUAAUUAAGUAUUUACUUCUGAUAGUAUAUGUUUUCUUUGACUUAGACUGUCACAGUAAAGGAUGAUGACGUCUUCCCUAUGAACCCACCCAAGUACGAUAAGAUUGAAGACAUGGCCAUGAUGACCCACUUGAACGAACCCUCCGUCCUGUAUAACCUCAAAGAGCGUUACGCAGCCUGGAUGAUCUACGUAAGGACUCUUGUUCUUUUUUAGCACCUACAUUUGACUAAAGCCAUGAAAUAGGAGUGUUGAAAGCUACAUUGUGGAUUGUUAGUGACACUAAGAUAUAACAAAAUAUUAGGGUGGGAAAAAAGCUGGGGUAAAAUGCUAUGAAUAACUGCUAUGCUAUGAACAACCUGCAAAUUAUUUCGGAGGAUCCCAUUCUAUGUAAGUACCAACAGUAAGGAUCUCUAUUUUGUGAUGUUUUUCCCACCUUUGCAAAAGAUCAACCGUAAGUAACCAGAAAAUAUGCACCGUAGAAAGCUGUUCAGGGGAUAUUAUUUCACUUUAUAAUAUAAUAUAUAAUGUAAUCUAUUACAUUUUAAGUGUUUCUAUGGUAUUUUAGGAUCCAAUACAUGUCUAACUUUACUUUGUAUUCUUCUUUAGACCUAUUCCGGCCUGUUCUGUGCUACAGUCAACCCCUACAAGUGGCUGCCUGUGUACAACCCCGAGGUGGUCAAUGCUUACAGAGGCAAAAAGCGUCAGGAGGCCCCACCUCACAUCUUCUCCAUCUCUGAUAAUGCCUAUCAGUUCAUGUUAACUGGUAAGCAGCCAAUUAUUUUAAGAAACAAGAGACAGAAAAAUAGAGUAGAUGUCCUUUUGUUUGUAAUGGUUAUUUUAUCUUAGCCUGUGACACACAGUUUGUUUAAAUUGUAUAACUUUUUCAUGCUGUUUGUUUUGUUUUUUAAUUUCUAGAUCGUGAAAAUCAGUCAAUCCUUAUUACGUAAGUAUACAUUUAUUAUUAUUUAUAUUAGUAAACUAUUCCAUAAAUAUGUACCGCAAUAAAAAUGAGCAUUUCCAAAUCAUUAUUCUAUUUAUAAUUAUUAUUAUUCAUUAUUUAGAAUGGUAACAAAUACAGAAAUUACUUUCUCUUAAUCUCAUGAUCUCCCGUGAUCCCGUGAUCUCAUGAUCUAUUUAUAAUACAUGAAAUCAAACGUCCCAAUUCACAAGCUUUUAUUCUGUGUUUAGCACAAUUGAAGGAUGAUUUCACCUCAGUUACAUAUUUAAAAAGUCAUUCUGGAGCCAAUCACUAAAUCUGGAGCAAUCAGUAGUACCAUCAUUUCCAUGUUGACUGCUCAGUUUGUACAAAACCUGUCUUGGAAUAUCCAAUGUGUUGUGAAGUCAAGGGACAUUUCAGACUAUGGUCUUGAUUUAAUAUUUUGGAAAAUAUUUUCAAAUCAUUGCCAUCUAUAUCACAUAUUUACCUACAAAAAUUCCAAUAUAUUUUAAUGGUGUCUUCAGUAGAUAGGUCAUUUGAAAAGUUUUUCUAGCAGAUUGCGAUCAUUUGGAAAACGUAUCCAGAAAUAUUAAAUCGAGGCCUAUGUUAUAGCAAACCUGAAUACUAAAAACCAUAGCAAAUAUAGUUCCUCACUGGCUAUAUUACCUAAUCAAAUCUUCCUGUGUUCCCCAGUGGAGAAUCUGGUGCUGGAAAGACUGUGAACACGAAACGCGUCAUCCAGUACUUUGCAACAAUUGCAGCUACUGGAGACAAGAAGCAAAAGGAGGCGGAGAAGAGCAAGGUGAAUUAAUAAAAUAUAAUGCAUUCACUGGAAUUAAACAAAGAUCUAUUUAAAUAUUGUUACAAACAAUAAACAUUAUACAUCUUAAAUUGAAGAUUCUAUCCUUGCUCAUAUGAAUAAAGUAAGGAGAUGCACAUGAAUCAGUACAAAUUCAUUUUUUCUAGGGCACUCUGGAGGAUCAAAUCAUCCAGGCUAACCCUCUCCUGGAAGCCUUUGGCAAUGCAAAGACCGUGAGGAAUGACAACUCAUCCCGCUUCGUAAGUCAGCCCUCAAACUACAAUAAGACUGCGCUAGCUCUGUAACAUUGCAAGAAAGAAUAUUAGACAAAGAAUACCCUAAAAGUCAUACAUACAUAAAUAUACACAGAUACAUAUGCAAUUUUUCUUAUAAAUAAUAUAUUUAAAUUGACCACUAUCCAACAGGAAUCUCUCUUAAAAGCACUAGUAUAAACAUCAAAUAAUAUGUUAUACACAAAGAUAUACUUGUAGCUUAUUCCUGGUUAGAUCCAGUGCAAUCAAUAGUCUUUCAAGUAUCUGUUUAAACAGAGUCACAAAUAUGAUUAAUAGAAGAAUCAAUUCUCAAGGGCAUCUCUUUAUAAUUAUGCUUCCAAACCAUUCCAUUUAUUCCAUAUUAAUAUCCACAAUGUAAAAAAACUAAUUUCUUUAUGUGCCCCAGAAACUUAAUGCAGGCCUUGUGUCUCACCUGUACCUUCUCAAAACAAAUUGUUCCUGCCUGUCCCAGAAAUUCCAUACACCCCUUGGAUCUCACCUGCCACCUCCCUUCCAGAUUAUAAUCUUGUGCGUCUGAAAUAAAUACUUAAAAUCCAGGGCGAAAACUACUUUGUUACAUAUUCCUCUUCUGACAAAUACUUUCAUAAUCAUAAUAAUUUAAAUUAUGAACUUCAUUUAUUAAUGUUUACAAUUUUAGGGUAAAUUCAUCAGAAUCCACUUUGGGACUACUGGCAAGCUGUCAUCUGCUGAUAUUGAAACAUGUAAGCUGGAAAAUGUAAUAUAUAACUUCAUAAAGUGAAAGACUGUAAGUCAAGUCAUUAAUAUUGUAUACUUGCUUUUUCAGACCUUCUGGAAAAAUCCAGAGUCACAUUCCAGUUGUCAGCAGAGAGAAGCUACCACAUCUUUUACCAGGUUAUGUCCAACAAGAAGCCUGAGUUGAUCGGUAAGUUGGUAUGAGAUACAACUGUCAGAAAACUUGAAAAAUGUUUAAAAAUAGAAAAGGCAAUGUUCAAAUAAUAAUCUGAAGUUGGGAACUUUUUUGUAUGCAGUAAUAAGUGCAUUUCUAAUAUUUUACAGACCAGCUGCUGAUUACAACCAACCCAUAUGACUUCCCACUUGUCAGCCAAGGUGAAAUCACAGUGGCCAGCAUUAAUGACCAAGAGGAACUGAUGGCCACUGAUGUACGUUCCUUCAACAUCAUGUAUGUUCUGAUGUCAUGUUUCCAUUCUGCACCAUAAUAAAUAUUUCCCCAACUCCAUGUUUUCACAGGAAGCCAUUGACAUCCUGGGUUUCAAUGCUGAUGAGAAAAUAGGAAUCUACAAACUGACGGGAGCGGUUAUGCACCAUGGCAACAUGAAAUUCAAGCAGAAACAAAGAGAGGAACAGGCUGAGCCAGAUGGCACAGAAGGUAAAAAUAGGACAUUACCCUUUGGUUACCCAUGGACAAAGUGAAUAAAAUAACACAGUAAAAAAAAAAAACACUUCUCCCCAAAGUGGUUUCAUUUUAAAACUUUCUUACCUUACCUUAACUUAUGUCACAAUUAAAGAAAAAUAGAAUUGUGUUGCUUUCAGGUCAAAAAAUUUAACUUGUGAAAUCUAAGCAUCACACUAAGAUAGAGCUAGUGGCCUCAGUGUGGCAUCAAAAGCAGGAAAUUUCAAAGCAUUUUUUUCCAACUAUAUUUCAGUGGCUGACAAAAUUGCCUAUCUGAUGGGUCUCAAUUCAUCCGAUUUACUGAAGGCCUUGUGCUACCCAAGAGUCAAAGUUGGGAAUGAAUAUGUGACCAAAGGUCAAACUGUGAAACAGGUAAUUUCAGUGCAAUAUCUGCCAAACAUGAGUGAAAAAGUCAUCAUUGCUUGAAAUGAUUUCAAAUUUUUUAUUUGUUGAAAGGUUCACAACUCAGUUGGUGCCCUGAGUAAGUCAGUCUAUGAGAAGAUGUUCUUGUGGAUGGUCCUUCGUAUUAACCAGCAGUUGGACACCAAACAGCCAAGACAGCACUUCAUUGGUGUCUUGGACAUUGCCGGCUUUGAAAUCUUUGAUGUAAGAAUGACAUAAUGUGUCUGUGGCAAAUCAUUCAUGAGAUAUGUAAAAUGUGACACUUAUAUGUACGAUUCUUAUUUUUUCUUAAUCAGUUCAACAGUUUGGAGCAGCUGUGUAUCAACUUCACCAAUGAGAAACUGCAACAAUUCUUCAAUCACCACAUGUUCGUCUUAGAACAAGAGGAAUACAAGAAGGAAGGUAUCGAAUGGGAGUUCAUUGACUUCGGCAUGGACUUGGCGGCUUGCAUUGAGCUUAUUGAGAAGGUAAAGAAUAAUGUUCGCUAGAAGUUAUCUUUCAAAACACAGCAUCUCUCAUUAUGAGUACAACACUUGUAGCACAAGAAAAAACCUUCAGAUGAUAUUGAAGUUAAAAAUAAUUACAAUUUAAAACCAAAACAAUAUUAUAUAUUCAAUUUAUUUAAACAUAUUCCCAUAGAGAAAUGGAUAAAUUAAUAUUUCUGUUAAAGUAUUGCUCCAUUAAUUGACUGUUUUCAUGGUAUAAUCAAUAGCCAAUGGGCAUCUUCUCCAUCCUUGAAGAGGAGUGCAUGUUCCCCAAGGCAACAGACACUUCAUUCACCAAUAAACUGUAUGAUCAGCAUCUUGGCAAGUCCAACAACUUCCAGAAACCAAAGCCUGGUAAAGGCAAAGCCGAGGCUCACUUCUCCCUUGUCCACUAUGCUGGGACAGUGGAUUACAACAUCAGUGGCUGGCUGGACAAGAACAAGGAUCCACUGAAUGAAACGGUCAUUGGGCUGUACCAGAAGUCUUCUGUGAAACUGCUCUCAUUCCUGUACUCCUCUUAUGCUGCAGACCAAGGUAAGUAAGCUUGAUAAAAACACAAUAUGGUAUAUUUCCAUGUCAGCAUGUCUAUAGCAUUGUUUCUCUAUAUUAUUGUAGUAACAUGGUGAUAUAAUAAUGGCCAUAGAUUAUCAUACUACAUUUUUUUAAAAAUUCUACUUCAGAAACUGGUGGCAAGAAGGGUGGUAAGAAGAAGGGGUCUUCUUUCCAGACUGUGUCUGCUCUUUUCAGGGUAAGUGCAAUAUUAAAGUCUUCCCUACCAAUUCCUUUUUUGUGUUUUUGUAUGUAUAUAUGUCAUUAUGUAAUAUAUCCAAUCUACAGGAGAAUCUGAACAAACUGAUGUCCAACUUGAGAAGCACUCACCCCCACUUUGUACGUUGUUUGAUCCCCAAUGAGACAAAGACUCCAGGUGGGUAAAAAGAAACAAAAAAAUAAAUUAAAAAAACCCUUAUGCGGCUUGGCUCUGCCAUAACUGGAGUCAAUGAGUAUUGACUGAGCACUGUCUGAUUGUUAAUGGAAAUUUUCCUUUUAAGGUGUGAUGGACCACUACCUGGUCAUGCAUCAGCUCAGGUGUAACGGUGUCCUGGAGGGAAUCAGAAUUUGCAGAAAAGGUUUCCCAAGCAGAAUCCUAUAUGGUGACUUCAAACAGCGGUAUGAAUCAUUCACAAAUAAUUAAAUAAAAUAAACAUUCUAUAAUAGUGUACAGUUGACUUGGAUGAGAAAAGUAGUAUCUGAUUUUGUAUCUAUUAUAUAUUUAUAUAUAUAAAUUUCUCUAUUGUAUGACAGUUACAAGAUCCUCAAUGCCAGUGCUAUCCCAGAUGGUCAGUUUAUUGACAGCAAGAAGGCUUCAGAGAAACUUCUUGGAUCCAUCGAUGUUGACCAUACUCAGUACAGAUUUGGGCACACCAAGGUAAAUGGUGUAACUGAAUAAUUAUUUUAACAAGCUAGAUUUACAGCAUAAAGUCACUACUACAUGUACUAAUUUUGAUAGCACAUUUGUCAUAGAAUCAGGGCUAUAGAAAGAUUUUGAAAAUUAAUGAAAAUCUGUUAGCGUUAUAUAAUCUUUUUACAAUUAAAAUUAUUUGCGAUACAUAGUUUGUCAGAAAAAAGCAGAUGAAACACUAUUGGGUUACAUUAAAUAUCAUGUCAUUGUAAAAUCUUAUAGGUGUUCUUCAAAGCUGGUCUCUUGGGUACCCUUGAAGAGAUGCGAGAUGAAAAAUUGGCUGAGCUGAUCACUCGUACUCAGGCUAUUUGCAGAGGAUACCUCAUGAGAGUAGAGUUUAAGAAGAUGAAUGAGAGGAGGUACUUUACUUAUAUGUUAUAAUAAAAAAUAUAUCAUCUACAUAAUAAAUGUUUGAUCUGUAUGCUAAAUCAAAUCCAUGUAUUUUUCUAGGGAAUCAGUCUAUUGUAUUCAGUACAAUGUCCGCUCAUUCAUGAACGUCAAACAUUGGCCAUGGAUGAAGCUGUACUUCAAGAUCAAGCCUCUUCUGAAGAGUGCAGAAUCUGAGAAGGAAAUGGCAAACAUGAAAGAAGAGUUUGAGAAGACAAAGGAAGCUCUUCAGAAGUCAGAAGCCAGGAGAAAGGAACUAGAGGAAAAAAUGGUCAGCAUACUCCAGGAAAAGAAUGACCUACAACUCCAAGUUGCAUCUGUAAGUUACUUAAAUACAGGAUCUAUAAAAUCACACUUUAGCUAAAAUGUCUUUAUUUAAAAUGUGCAAUAUUGAAUAUCAAUAAUCACAGAGACAUACUUAUGUAAUUUAAAAUAUAUAUAUAUAUAUAUAUAUUAAUAAAUUAGCAAUAUAUGCAUAUUUACUUGGUCUUCCUGAUGCAUUUCCACAGGAAUCAGAAGCUGUGUCAGAUGCAGAAGAAAGAUGUGAGGGACUGAUCAAAGCCAAGAUUCAACUGGAAGCAAAGGUCAAGGAAAUUAAUGAAAGGCUGGAAGAUGAAGAAGAAUCUAAUGCAGAGCUAACAGCCAAAAAGAGGAAACUGGAGGAUGAAUGUUCCGAGCUGAAGAAAGAUAUUGAUGACCUUGAGCUAACAUUGGCCAAGGUUGAGAAGGAGAAACAUGCCACAGAAAACAAAGUAAUAUAUUUUCAUUAUUAUCUACAAUAAGCUUUAAAUAUUAUAGUAGAUAAACAAUGUGAAAAAUAAACAAAAUACAAAGUGGAAUAAUGCUUAGGAAACAUUAGUAUAUGAUUUUGUUUUCAUAUACUUUGAUUCUAGUCAUACAAAUGACACAUAACACGUCUGACACACAUAUAUUAAUCCAAACGUCUAAAUCUAGGUGAAAAACCUUACAGAAGAAUUGGCUGUUCUUGAUGAGAACGUUGCCAAGUUGACUAAGGAGAAGAAAGCCCUUCAAGAAGCCCACCAGCAAACUCUGGAUGACUUGCAAGCUGAAGAAGACAAAGUCAACUCUCUUACCAAAGCCAAAACCAAACUGGAACAACAAGUAGAUGAUGUACGUACAUAUGGUGCUAUAUUCUGACUUUUGUGACGGUGAUGAUAAAGAUUGUGUUGCACGAGUGACAGUUACACAUUUUUUGUCUUGACUUUGAAAUUAUGAAAACAGACUCGUGUUGAGUGUUUAAUACUAUAUCUAAUGUUCCAUUAGCUUGAGGGUUCACUGGAGCAAGAGAAGAAGCUUCGCUUGGAUUUGGAGAGAGCCAAGAGAAAGCUGGAGGGUGAUCUCAAGUUAUCCCAGGAAUCUACAAUGGAUCUGGAAAAUGAGAAGCAGCAGCUGGAUGAAAAAGUUAAAAAGUAAAAUAGAGUUAGCACUGUAACCCUAUCUUACUAACUCCAACAUCUCUGCGUAAUUCAUUUUCCUGUCUCCUUUUCUCUUCCCUAUUACUCUUUUAUACUAAAAAAUUGUGCUACUGAAUUUGAGUGUAUUUAUUCAUGUCUAGAUAAUCAACCUGAUAUUCAUGUUUCUUGCAUUCAUUCAUCCAAUGCCUGGAUUUUUUUGGACAUCUGCAUGUUGGAAUACAUGCUUAGCCGUCUGUGAAUUAUUUCCAAUAAAAUCCAAUAUAAUUUGAGAACCCAUCUUAGUUAAUAACUGAUGCUAUCGUCUAACGAGAUUUUUACAGAUAUCAAGAAUAAACAUUAUUCCUAGAUGUAUGCUUCUUGUUCAACAGGAAGGAAUUUGAAAUCAGCCAACUGCAAAGCAAGAUUGAAGAUGAACAAGCUCUGGGUACUCAGCUGCAGAAGAAAAUCAAAGAGUUACAGGUAACCUUCAAAUCAAUACACAACAAUUGAUAUUUGAAGCUCAAGGCCGAGUUUAUGACUAUACUAUUUUCUCAACACUACAGGCCCGUAUUGAAGAGCUGGAAGAGGAAAUUGAAGCAGAACGAGCAGCUAGAGCCAGAGCUGAGAAACAACGUGCCGACUUAUCCAGAGAGCUUGAAGAGAUCAGUGAGCGUCUGGAAGAAGCUGGUGGAGCAACCUCAGCUCAGAUUGAAUUGAACAAGAAGCGCGAAGCAGAAUUCCAGAAGAUAAGACGCGACCUAGAAGAGGCCACUCUACAGCAUGAGGCCACAGCCUCCGCACUCCGUAAAAAGCAUGCCGAUAGUGUUGCAGAACUUGGAGAACAAAUUGAUAACCUUCAACGUGUUAAACAGAAACUGGAAAAGGAAAAGAGUGAGCUGAAGAUGGAGAUAGAUGACCUGGCCAGUAACUUGGAAUCUGUCUCCAAAUCUAAGGUAUGGACUAAGCAUAUGCAAAAGAAAAACAAGAAAAAAAGCAAACAAACAUAGAUUAUUUUCUUGCAUCAUUAACUGGCUGGUGAUAUUUUCUGACUUUUUUGGUCAGUAUCUUGCAGCAGUUAUCAAAGUAAUUACAAUCCAAAUUUUGACAGUAACGCUGUUAAAGUCAGAAAACGUUAUUGACCGAAAAAAAAGGCCUACAUUGUUAUUUCUAAUGUCUCAAUGUUGAGCUUGAUAGGUUGAAAGUGCAAGGCUAACAACAAAAACAGGAUUAAAGAUAGAGACAAGCAAUUGCUUUGAUAGUGGCUAACAAGUGGCGGGCACCCAAUUUUACAUAUUAUGUUAAAUAUGGACAUUGCAGAGUGCUUGUGUUUCUUAAAGGUAUCUGACAGAAUUUAAGAGUUUAAUGUAACAUAUGAGGCCCAUUUUCAUCAAUAAUGGCAAAAGUAGUAAAGGUGGUAUCAAAGUAUUGAAAUGGUGAUGUUGCAGUAACAUUGUCUUUGCUAAUGGAGCAUCGGCUGAAGUGUAUGUAAAUAGUGAAUAUGCACUUGUAAUUUCCCUAAUAGCUUUAUGGUUUAAAAAUAUGUGAGUUAUAUACUUAUCAAUAGGCAAAUCUGGAGAAGCUAAGCAGGACAAUAGAGGACCAAUACAGUGAAGUGAAGACUAAAGAAGAUGAGCACCUUCGUGUCAUUAAUGACAUCAAUGGUCAGAAAGCGCGUCUUCAAACAGAAAACGGUAACUAGUCCAUGCAUUAAAUAUUGCUAUAAGUAUGUACUAGAAAAGGUAAAAGAUAUCAUUUAAUAUCAAAUUAAUUGUAUUUAUUAGGGGAAUACUCUCGUCAGUUGGAGGAAAAAGAAUCUUUAAUUUCUCAGCUAUCCAGAGGCAAACAGGCUUUUACCCAACAAACAGAAGAACUGAAAAGACAGUUAGAGGAGGAGAUAAAGGUAUUUUUGUCCAAUAAAAAUAAGUUAAAAAAAUGCCAACUGUGUCUUGCUUAUAAGUUCUGAAUUGCUUUGCUAGAGGAACACAAGCGUUUUCCUAACGUUAUAGUGACCUACUAGUUAUUUAGAUUACUGCCCCCCAAUGUGAAGUAAAAAUUUUGUUUCACUUACCUUUUCUCCAUUCAUGAUGAUCUGAGCCAAUCCAAUGCUUCCUCACAGGACCACACUGGGAAGCUUGUGCGCAUGCAUGGCAAAUUGCCGCUCUAGGAGCAGCAUUUGAUUGAGAACUGACAGCCACUAGAGAUGUGCUUAAUCCUGCAUUUCUCCAAAACUGUAAUGUUGAACUAAAGGGCCACUGCCGCCAGACCACUUAAUUGAAAUGGUCCAGAGUAGUCCAAAAAAAAAAAAAAAAUAUUAAAAUUGUCAUGACCUAAUUUUGAUAAAUAUAGAUUCAUAAUUUUUUUCCUUGUUUAACAUUAAUAUAAUGCCAUGUCACCUUUAAGGCCAAAAACGCCCUCGCUCAUGCCUUGCAAUCUGCCCGACAUGACUGUGACCUUCUCAGGGAGCAAUAUGAAGAGGAACAAGAAGCCAAGGCUGAGUUGCAAAGAUCUCUGUCCAAAGCCAAUGGAGAGGUUGCCCAAUGGAGGACAAAAUACGAGACUGAUGCUAUUCAACGCACAGAGGAACUGGAAGAAGCCAAGUAUGUGUACUUUAGUUAGUACUAUUCCUUCUGAAAAGGAAAGAUUGAAUUAACAUAAACAUUCAAUUCUGGAUCUAUCCAUGCACCUGUUUAAAUAUAUCAGUUCACAGAAUUAUUUUUCUAUUCAGGAAUGGUGAUGUAUAAUUAAACUAAUUUAUAAAUAAUAGUAUUUGCUUAAAUGAAUUGUAUCUAUUUUUUUUUUUUUUUACAAUGAGGAAUCUCAAAUAUUACUUUUUUUUUGUUAACAGCUGGCAAUGUAAUGGCACGUUCUCUUUGUUAGCUGGUUUGUGGUUCUCCCAUGACUACAAAAACAUUUACAACAUACAGUAUUUGUCAAAUAUUACAAUUGGUUCACUGCAGAUUUGUAGAAUUGUACUUUCAACUGUGUGUUUUUUUAUUUUACAAAUCAUCAAAUGUUUUUUUUUUCCCCCCUUAAAAACAAAUCUUUAAACAAAUCUUUAGUUUAAAAAGACACUCAUACAAUCUGAUAUUAAUAUAACAGGAAGAAACUCGCUCAGCGUCUCCAGGAUGCGGAAGAACAAGUUGAGGCUGUCAACUCAAAGUGUGCAUCUCUGGAAAAGACCAAGCAGAGGCUCCAAGGAGAGGUGGAAGAUCUCAUGGCUGACGUGGAGCGUUCCAACUCUGCCUCUGCAGCUCUUGACAAGAAGCAGAGGAACUUUGACAAGGUUUAUUCCCUAUAAUAUACAUCUAAUGGAAUAUUGUCAAUUUACUUAAGACAAUUUAGAAAUGCAGCCUUUUUUACACUACAAAUAUUUUCAACAUAUCAAUUAAACAACAAACAAGAUGAAUGAAUAAUGAAUAAGAAGCCAACACUAAGCCAUUGUAUGUUUUCUUUCUUUGAGGGAACAAAUGACUCUCAACUUCACAUAUGUGUGUGAGAGACUUUUACAUAAAAAAAUGCUUUGUUUUAUUACAUAGGUUCUGUCUGAAUGGAAGCAGAAAUAUGAAGAAACUCAGGCAGAGCUAGAAGCCUCUCAGAAGGAGGCCAGGUCUCUGAGCACAGAGAUCUUCAAGAUUAAGAACUCCUAUGAGGAAUCUUUAGAUCAGCUUGAGACUCUCAAGAGAGAAAACAAGAACCUUCAACGUUAGUAUGAUGUGGAUGUUAAACUUGUUUAAAUCAAAAUUAUUUUUCUUUCAAAAUGUGGGUUGUUAGAUGGCAAAAAGACCAGGGACUUUAUCCCAAGCAUAAAUUGUAUAGCCCCUCCAUCAUCUAUUGAUUUAAGCCCCUCCUAAAACAAAUUAUAUAAGUGGAGGUGUUUCUCUCUCUGUGUUACAGGGACUCAGGGAUAAUAAGUAAACAAGCCCAAUAUUAAACUUGGGGAUUUCCAAAACUUCACACUGGGCUCCAGCCCCUGUCAUCUCCUGCAACCUUCACUUCACCUCCACCCCCACCCCAGUAACACCCCUGUCAUUCAAUCUUGAAAUUGUUAACUUUCAAUGCACCAGUUCUUAACUUGCCAUUCAUUGUGUUUUUCCAGAGGAGAUCUCUGAUCUGACAGAACAAAUUGCAGAGACUGGAAAGAGUAUUCAUGAAAUAGAAAAAUCCAAAAAACAGGUGGAGCAAGAGAAAUUUGACUUGCAGUCAGCCCUGGAAGAGGCAGAGGUAAGUAUUGUUUUAGCAAUAUUAAAAACAUGUUUAUAUGCUAUUUUUGCAUUACUCUAAAUGUACAUAUACAUAUUUCCCUAGGGCACUCUGGAGCACGAAGAGGCAAAGGUAAUUCGUAUACAACUUGAGCUGACUCAGAUAAAGUCUGAGGUGGACCGAAAAGUUGCUGAGAAAGAUGAAGAGAUUGAACAGCUGAAGAGGAACAGCCAGAGAGCACUGGAUACAUUGCAAAGUUCCCUGGAUUCUGAGAUCAGAAGCAGGAAUGAUGCUCUCCGAAUCAAGAAGAAGAUGGAAGGAGAUCUUAAUGAGAUGGAGAUUCAGCUCAGCCAUGCCAACCGCCAGGCUGCAGAAGCACAGAAACAACUCAGGAAUGUACAAGCACAAGUUAAGGUAAAUUACUGUAAAAAGCAAAAUGCUUAAUUUUGCAUACAUAUGUGUUUGAAGAUGACAUUGCUUUCUAUGUAUGUAGGAUGCCCAACUGCAUCUCGAUGAUGCAAUUAGAGGAAAUGAAGAUUUGAAGGAACAGUUGGCUAUUGUUGAAAGACGCAACAACCUCAUGACUGCUGAACUUGAAGAAAUUAGAUCUUCACUGGAACAGACUGAGCGUGCACGCAAAUUGGCAGAACAAGAACUUCUUGAUGUCACAGAGCGUGUUCAGCUGCUCCACUCUCAGGUAAGAACGUUCUAAGAGUCAUUGAUCACAGCUUUUAAAUAUAAACAUAUCUGUAAACUGGGGCCUCACUUGUGCUCCUUCUCCAACAAACAGAAUACCAGCCUCAUCAACACCAAGAAGAAGCUUGAAGCUGAUGUCUUCCAACUACAGAGUGAAGUUGAAGAACAACUACAAGAAUCUAGGAAUGCAGAUGAAAAGGCUAAGAAGGCCAUCACAGAUGUAUGUCUAGUUACUAAGAAGGCCAUCACAGAUGUAUGUCUAGUUACCAAUGCCUACUAUGCAUUAUGAGAGACGCUUAAUCCAAUAACUAAAAUAUGUUUUGGUGAUUCUACCAGGCUGCCCUGAUGGCUGAGGAAUUAAAGAAGGAACAAGACACUAGUUCUCACCUCGAGAGGAUGAAGAAGAAUCUGGAACAGACAGUGAAGGAUCUCCAGCAUCGUCUGGAUGAGGCCGAACAACUGGCAUUGAAAGGAGGAAAGAAACAACUCCAGAAAUUAGAAUCCAGGGUGAGUCAUUGUAUCAUGAACUUUCUGGUCAGUGUAAACAAGGAAACAUUUUUAACCCAUCAUGGACAUAACUUCAGAAAUAAAAGCCCUGCAUGAUGGAACAUUUUUGGUAUGUGUCAUUAAGUGGUUAAACGCAACACUGAUGUCAAGUAACAUUUUUAUAUAAAUAUAAUUUGAUAUAUAUAAGACAUGAACUGGAGUCUAGCAAUUGGUCUAUUUAUUAGAGCAGGCAUGUCAUCGUUUUUUUUCUAAAGGAGUUUCUGUGGCAAGUGAUAACCAAUAGGAGAGCCACAAUUGCCACAAAGCCAUGUGGCAAUUGUUUAGCAAAUUUAUUCUAACAGAAAGGAUACAACUUAGCCAACAUGGGAAAGCUGUUUAUUAUGAUUUUGAAAACACACAGGUGGUCCUUAGGAAGGCACUGUCAAAAGACCCCUGUUCAAACCCCUUGGUGAUAUUCUCCCCAUAUUCUCACUUAUGACCUCUGCCCAUAUUCUCCUCGUGUCCCCCUCCCUCCCCAUACUCCUCAAAACAUUUAUUAAUACUGCAUUGUUUGUCAUUUUCUUUUUAGUUAUAUGACUAAGUUGCAUGGGAGUAAGUUCCCAAGCAGACUGGCAUAUAGAAAUUAAUCAGAUGGUUGUACAGUAGUCGUCGGGAUGGAGAUAUAUGACACUUGUUGGGUGACAAUGAAAACACAGUGGUCUGUAAGCUCUGCAAUGAGGUGUGUAAAGGAAUGGUAGCAAAAUUAUAAAGGUUUGCCUAAAGAUUUGCCUUCAUCUCUAGUCAAUUUUUUUUAAAUGGAGGAAUUAUUUUGUGCAAUCUUGUAAAAGAGAAAGUAGUGCCAUGACUUAAUUUGAAGAGGAUGUAUAGCUAUUGCUAAAUAUUACAACUCAAUUGGUCACUAGCAUUAUAUAUGCAGAACAUCUGCUGGUGGAACUAAAUAAACAUUAUAAAAAGUAUGUAACUAGACCAUAUGAGCUAUUUUCUAUCCAUUUGUUAGGUGCGUGAGCUGGAAAAUGAGCUGGAUGCCGAACAGAAGAGAGGCAGCGAUGCCAUUAAGGGUGUACGCAAGUACGAAAGGAGAGUGAAGGAGCUGACAUACCAGGUGGGCUCAGUUUAAUUAUUUUUGAUUUUGCUUCGUUCAAUCCAGUGACCUAUUAGACAAAUAUAUUUAACUAUGCAUAUAGUGAGCCCAAAUGUUCAUUUGUUUUAACAAAUCACAGACUGAAGAGGACAAGAAGAACGUCCUCAGGUUACAGGACUUGGUAGACAAACUGCAGCUGAAGGUGAAAGCUUACAAGAGACAAGCCGAGGAGACUGUAAGUAGUAAAUAUUUGGCCAAUUCUGGUUUUAACUACUAAGAUGAAACAGGCAUACUAACAACCCUUUUCUUCUGGUUAAGGAGGAACAGGCAAAUAUACAUCUUUCCAGAUUCAGGAAGACCCAACAUGAACUAGAAGAGGCUGAGGAACGAGCUGAUAUUGCUGAAUCUCAGGUCAACAAGCUCAGAGCCAAGAGCCGCGAUAUCGGCAAGGUAUAUAUGUUUUUGAUGCUUUGCCCUGAUUUUUAUUAUUGAUUAUAAUGCCACAUAUAACGCCCCUUAGCUUAGUCAUUACACAUUUACCAACAAGCAAAACUAACCUUAUAAUCAGAUAGAUUAAGAGUAGAUUAUUAUUGGUAAAUAUACACAAUGGACAGGAACAGGUCAAGUGAUGGGUCCACUGGGGAGGUAGCAAUGAGGUAAAGGAGUCAGAAAUUAGAUCAGAUGAGCUGGUUUAAUAGGGAAUGUGAAGAAUAAGGUCAGUCACUUGGUGCCAGAAAAGUUAUUGAACUAUGGAGGGUGAAGGAAGGUGAUAAUGACCAGCUAGGUUGUAAUGGAAGUAGUCAUUAUGGGUGCGGGUGAAAUCUGGUGCCUUUUCAGUAACUCUACAUAACCGAAUUCACAAUGUUAUUUAGUUUAACUGGACUAUAAACAGACCUCUAUAUAUUAUAUAGGAUAGGUGGGUAGGUGUUUUGAUAUUAUUCAUGUUAUCCUUUAACGCAGUAUAUACAUGAUUCUCUUUCACAGAAAGCGGAGGAAUAAAGAGAAGAUGUGGUUUACAGAAGCUCAUACAAUAUGGACUCCAUUGUAACUAAAAUAAUUUGUAUUAAAUUAGUUCAUGUAGAAUACAAAUAAACCCUGUGUUUAUACUGAC